GACAUAAUUUUCGAGCUUCCAAGAUGGCCAGCAGGGCAGCGAAAGUCGCCUCUCGGACAUUAAAUUAUGUACACACGAAAAAAUGUAGAUCGCACACUUUUCACAGUGGUUUAUUACUGAGAAACAUAUCUCCAGUUAGCUCACAGAAUUUACGCCGCGUCCACUGGGACGUAAGGACGACGGCUGGAGCGAAAGAUUUCAUCUACACGCUUGACAACGAGGAGCGAGAGCAGCUGCUGCUUGAACUCCAGAGGUUUGAAGAGGCCAGGAAAAGUCCAGGUGAAAGAUAUUCAGUUCCUAAGAAGACAAAAACUACAGAAGUCUAUGAGUCAGCAUCACCUGUGCCCUCUUGGAGUCAGUUAAGAAAAGUUGCCCUUUACAACGGAUUGCCAUUUAUAGGUUUUGGAAUUUUAGACAAUGUUAUAAUGAUUACAGCAGGUGAAUACAUUGAUGCUACAUUUGGAGCCAUGCUGGGUAUAUCAACUAUGGCAGCUGCUGCAUUAGGUAAUAUGGUCUCAGAUGUAGCUGGAGUUGGAACUGCAGGAAUAGUGGAAAAUGCUGUCAGUAAAUUAGGUGUGAAGCCACCAAAUAUCACUCCAUCUCAAGCGGACCACAGGUCUACAAGGAUAGCCUCAGCUUUGGGGCGCGCAAUAGGGAUAGCAUUUGGUUGUCUGUUAGGCAUGUUUCCACUGUUUUUGUUACAUCAGGAGGGAAUUUUUAUUUCAAAAGACGAGAAGACUGAAUCAGAAAACACAGAAUCUGAAAAGUCUUAAAAGGACAAAGCAAUUACAGCAAAGUUAUGGUGCUUUUUGAAAUAAACUUGGAAGUCAUGUAUGCCAACAAAUGUAUUCUUUGCAUGUUCACAUGUAUAUAUAUAUGCAUAUAAGUAUAUAUAUGAGCAUGUGUAAAGAAUACACUGUUCUUUGUGAAAAAUUCAAAGUUUGGCUUGUUUCAAAAGUAAUUUUGCAAUUCAUAAACCAAAACUUUCAUAGACUACUAUUUGCUCAAGUUCUUGCUCAGCUACUGCGUACAUUUGUGCAGGAUGGCUGCCUUCUUAAAUGUCAGUUUUGGAGAUCCUCGGACCUCUGGUAGAUGAACAGUAUUUGUUCCGUGGAAUGUUAAUAUUAUUGUGUUGAAGAGUUUGUAUGGCAACACAAUCCUGGACAUUCUUCUGUUGGACGUCAAGAAUGUGAUCAUCAUCAUCAUCUAGUCAGGGCGAGCUCUGUGUGUUGUGAUUGGGUGUUUCAUAGGCAUGUUUCCACUCUAUUUUUACGAUGAGGAGGAGAUCCAGC
RNA transcript from Lingula anatina, 1292 nucleotides. It is a transcript of the gene named transmembrane protein 65, with no coding region annotated. Lineage: Eukaryota; Metazoa; Brachiopoda; Lingulata; Lingulida; Lingulidae. The record is from RefSeq and is a predicted model, not a curated record.